UCACCAUCUUCUUCAUUUCUUCAUCUUCCUCUUCAAGAACAACUCAAGUCUUGUCAAGGUUAAUUCUCCAUUGACACAUCAGCAUACCGAUACAGUAGGAUAACGCCUAAUCACAAAUGAUUAUACGUUGAAAAUAGGAUGUGGCGGUGGCAAAGGUGGCGAUGGUAGAGGUGACAAUGGUAGUAUUAGUGGGGUCGAUUGUUGGCAGAAGUGGUGGUGAUGGUAGUGACGGUUGUGGUGGCGAGGGAAAAGGAACGCGUGGUGUGGCAUAAUUAUUCAUGAUUAUUACUAUUCCGUUGUAUUGGUACGCUGUAACGCUGAAACCGAAAAUAAAAAAUAUGUGACUGAUGUUGAAUUUUAAAAUCUAUAUUUUUUCGGAAUC
Lactuca sativa (garden lettuce) is the source of this 382-nucleotide non-coding RNA. The record is from RefSeq and is a predicted model, not a curated record. NCBI's taxonomy places the organism in Eukaryota, Viridiplantae, Streptophyta, Magnoliopsida, Asterales, Asteraceae.